RNAcentral lists this ribosomal RNA (494 nucleotides) under uncultured bacterium. RNAcentral describes it as "partial 16S ribosomal RNA". It matches the Rfam family "Bacterial small subunit ribosomal RNA", at positions 28 to 507 of the family's 1533-position model. The record is from RNAcentral.
GACGAACGCUGGCGGCGCGCUUAACACAUGCAGGUCGAACGGAAAGGCCUGCUUUCCCUUGUGGAUUGCGGGUACUCGAGUGGCGAACGGGUGAGUAACACGUGAGUGAUCUGUCCCCAACUUGGGUAUAAGCCUGGGAAACUGGGUCUAAUUCCCGAUAGGACUGCAGGGUGGUGCCUGUGGUGGAAAACGAUUUUCUAGUGGUUGGGGAUGAGCUCGCGGCCUAUCAGCUUGUUGGUGGGGUAAUGGCCUACCAAGGCGGCGACGGGUAGCCGGCCUGAGAGGGUGGACGGCCACAUUGGGACUGAGAUACGGCCCAGACUCCUACGGGAGGCAGCAGUGGGGAAUAUUGCACAAUGGGCGGAAGCCUGAUGCAGCGACGCCGCGUGGGGGAUGACGGCCUUCGGGUGGUAAACUCCUUUCGACCGCGAGGAAGCCACCUGGUUGGAAGGGUGGUGACGGUAGUGGUAGAAGAAGCACCGGCUAACUACGUG